CAGGAGUGUACGGUUCUCAGUAAGGUUGCCAUACCUCAACUGCUCCUGGAUGAGGCGGUGAAGGACAGUCCCGGAGGAAUCCUCAGCUGUCCGCAUUCUCAACUAACUGGUUGACAACUAACCAGCUACUUUCCAAAGUGAAGGCCUGUGAGAGUUCACUGGCAUCCCAGGACUGGAGGAGGAGAGCCCUGGCAGCAAAGCAGCAAAUUAUUACGAGCCGCUUUUCAUGCACAUUACUGGGGAAAUCUGGAACUACAAGGUUUUGCAAACCUGCACAAACAACAUAACUUGGCAAGUUGGAAACACUAAUAAACUAACUAUGGGGCAAGGGGAGACUGAAGGCACAAAUUAUCCUAGGGCUGGCUCUGAGGACAUUCUAUCCACUGCACCAUGCAGUCUCUUUAGCCUGCCAAGUAAGUGCCUGACCAGAUAGGUUUAAUGCAUGUGGGCACAAAGUUACAGAUGGAUAUCUUUAGUUUGGUCGCACAUUGGACUCCUGUUUCCAGUUAAGCUGUGUAGUUUGGGUUGUAUUUUAAAGACUAUGUUACUCAUAAGAUAUCUAUGUAUUGCUUUCUUGCCAAGGAUGUUUGUGGACUGAGGCUUUUUAUCAGGAGUUGGGUUGGUUCUCAAAAUUACUGUCACACAAUUAAAGAAUUUUUUUGUCAA
Hemicordylus capensis (graceful crag lizard) is the source of this 666-nucleotide long non-coding RNA. RefSeq lists it as uncharacterized. The record is from RefSeq and is a predicted model, not a curated record. Lineage: Eukaryota; Metazoa; Chordata; Lepidosauria; Squamata; Cordylidae. The transcript is spliced from 2 exons.